RNAcentral lists this transfer RNA (86 nucleotides) under Anaerolineae bacterium. RNAcentral's name for it is "tRNA-Ser". It matches the Rfam family "tRNA". Rfam says of the family: Transfer RNA (tRNA) molecules are approximately 80 nucleotides in length. Their secondary structure includes four short double-helical elements and three loops (D, anti-codon, and T loops). The record is from RNAcentral. Lineage: Bacteria; Bacillati; Chloroflexota; Anaerolineae.
GGAGGGAUCGCAUAGCUGGCCUAGUGCGCGGCACUCGAAAUGCCGUGAGCCUCCGGGCUCCGUGGGUUCGAAUCCCACUCCCUCCG